RNAcentral lists this ribosomal RNA (883 nucleotides) under uncultured Clostridia bacterium. RNAcentral's name for it is "bacterial SSU rRNA". It matches the Rfam family "Bacterial small subunit ribosomal RNA", at positions 60 to 964 of the family's 1533-position model. The record is from RNAcentral. Lineage: Bacteria; Bacillati; Bacillota; Clostridia.
AGUCGAACGAAGAAUGUUUUUCGGAAUAUUCUUAGUGGCGGACGGGUGAGUAACGCGUGAACAAUCUGCCCCGUACAAAGGGAUAGCCUCGGGAAACCGGGAUUAAAACCAUAUAACACUUAACUGCCGCAUGGUAGUGAAGUCAAAUCGAGUAAGAGGUAUGGGAUGAGUUCGCGUCUGAUUAGCUAGUUGGUGAGGUAAGGGCUCACCAAGGCGACGAUCAGUAGCCGGCCUGAGAGGGUGAACGGCCACACUGGAACUGAGACACGGUCCAGACUCCUACGGGAGGCAGCAGUGGGGAAUAUUGCACAAUGGAGGGAACUCUGAUGCAGCGACGCCGCGUGAGUGAAGAAGGUCUUCGGAUCGUAAAACUCUGUCCUUGGUGAAGAAAAGGACGGUAGCCAAGGAGGAAGCCCCGGCUAACUACGUGCCAGCAGCCGCGGUAAUACGUAGGGGGCGAGCGUUGUCCGGAUUUACUGGGCGUAAAGGGUGAGUAGGCGGUUAUAUAUGUCAGGUGUAAAAAGCUAUGGCUUAACCAUAGUAAGCACUUGAAACUGUAUGACUUGAGUGCAGGAGAGGUAAGCGGAAUUCCUAGUGUAGCGGUGAAAUGCGUAGAUAUUAGGAGGAACACCGGUGGCGAAGGCGGCUUACUGGACUGUAACUGACGCUGAGUCACGAAAGCGUGGGUAGCAAACAGGAUUAGAUACCCUGGUAGUCCACGCUGUAAACGAUGAGUGCUAGGUGUUGGGCAGCGAUAUUCAGUGCCGGAGUAAACACAAUAAGCACUCCGCCUGGGGAGUACGGUCGCAAGACUGAAACUCAAAGGAAUUGACGGGGACCCGCACAAGCAGCGGAGCAUGUGGUUUAAUUCGAAGCAACGCGA